This 1431-nucleotide ribosomal RNA is filed under the name uncultured organism. RNAcentral's name for it is "16S ribosomal RNA". It matches the Rfam family "Bacterial small subunit ribosomal RNA". The record is from RNAcentral.
CAGGCUUAACACAUGCAAGUCGAGGGGCAGCAUGGUCUUAGCUUGCUAAGGCCGAUGGCGACCGGCGCACGGGUGAGUAACACGUAUCCAACCUGCCGUCUACUCUUGGACAGCCUUCUGAAAGGAAGAUUAAUACAAGAUGGCAUCAUGAGUCCGCAUGUUCACAUGAUUAAAGGUAUUCCGGUAGACGAUGGGGAUGCGUUCCAUUAGAUAGUAGGCGGGGUAACGGCCCACCUAGUCUUCGAUGGAUAGGGGUUCUGAGAGGAAGGUCCCCCACAUUGGAACUGAGACACGGUCCAAACUCCUACGGGAGGCAGCAGUGAGGAAUAUUGGUCAAUGGGCGAGAGCCUGAACCAGCCAAGUAGCGUGAAGGAUGACUGCCCUAUGGGUUGUAAACUUCUUUUAUAAAGGAAUAAAGUCGGGUAUGGAUACCCGUUUGCAUGUACUUUAUGAAUAAGGAUCGGCUAACUCCGCGCCAGCAGCCGCGGUAAUACGGAGGAUCCGAGCGUUAUCCGGAUUUAUUGGGUUUAAAGGGAGCGUAGAUGGAUGUUUAAGUCAGUUGUGAAAGUUUGCGGCUCAACCGUAAAAUUGCAGUUGAUACUGGAUAUCUUGAGUGCAGUUGAGGCAGGCGGAAUUCGUGGUGUAGCGGUGAAAUGCUUAGAUAUCACGAAGAACUCCGAUUGCGAAGGCAGCCUGCUAAGCUGCAACUGACAUUGAGGCUCGAAAGUGUGGGUAUCAAACAGGAUUAGAUACCCUGGUAGUCCACACGGUAAACGAUGAAUACUCGCUGUUUGCGAUAUACUGCAAGCGGCCAAGCGAAAGCGUUAAGUAUUCCACCUGGGGAGUACGCCGGCAACGGUGAAACUCAAAGGAAUUGACGGGGGCCCGCACAAGCGGAGGAACAUGUGGUUUAAUUCGAUGAUACGCGAGGAACCUUACCCGGGCUUAAAUUGCAGAUGAAUUACGGUGAAAGCCGUAAGCCGCAAGGCAUCUGUGAAGGUGCUGCAUGGUUGUCGUCAGCUCGUGCCGUGAGGUGUCGGCUUAAGUGCCAUAACGAGCGCAACCCUUGUUGUCAGUUACUAACAGGUUCCGCUGAGGACUCUGACAAGACUGCCAUCGUAAGAUGUGAGGAAGGUGGGGAUGACGUCAAAUCAGCACGGCCCUUACGUCCGGGGCUACACACGUGUUACAAUGGGGGGUACAGAGGGCCGCUACCACGCGAGUGGAUGCCAAUCCCCAAAACCUCUCUCAGUUCGGACUGGAGUCUGCAACCCGACUCCACGAAGCUGGAUUCGCUAGUAAUCGCGCAUCAGCCACGGCGCGGUGAAUACGUUCCCGGGCCUUGUACACACCGCCCGUCAAGCCAUGGGAGCCGGGGGUACCUGAAGUGCGUAACCGCGGGGAGCGCCCUAGGGUAAAACUGGUGACUGG